ACUGUUGACAGCCAUCGACUCAAAGCACAGAAUGAAAUAGAGCGUAACAACGUUUGGUUUGUUGUCUAAAUUCGUGUACAUAAUUUUUAUUAUUUUAUACAAACAAUAUAAAAACGGAAGACAAAAAAUUAAUGCAGCUAUGACAAUGACUAGUCGAAAAGGUUUUGCUCGUGGUUUGGAAGCCGAAAAAAUUCUAGGUGCAACUGUUAAAAGGGGCGAAUUGGAGUUCCUGAUAAAAUGGAAGGGCAUCGAAGAGGCAGAUUUGGUACCAUCGAAAGAAGCCAAUGAAAAAUGUCCACAAAUCGUGAUCAAGUUUUACGAAGAACGAUUGAGUUUCAAUCAAACCGAUUCACAAUGAAAAAUAUAUUAUUAUCAUCAUUGUCACAUUUAAAUUAAGCAAACGUUAAGCAUGUAAUAACAUAAGAUAAGAAUUAUAGACUUAGUUAAACCAAAACCAAAUGUUAACGAGAUAAUAAUGUGUGCAUCACCGUGAAAUUCAGGGAAAUGUUGAAAUAUUGAUGAUUUGAAAUGAAUACUGUGAUGAGUUCAAAUGAUUAUACAAUGCUACCGAAAAGCAGUCAAAGUUCAAAGUUGAUAAGAAAUAAAAGUGGCACUGUUUGUUUCGUCAAUCUCAAUAUUUUUAAUAAAUGAUUCAUAUUCAAUUACAAAUAAAAUGGAGUAGAAUACAUCCACAGAAUGGA
Molecule: long non-coding RNA, 701 nt
Organism: Contarinia nasturtii (swede midge)
Lineage: Eukaryota; Metazoa; Arthropoda; Insecta; Diptera; Cecidomyiidae
Exons: 2
Source: RefSeq, a predicted model, not a curated record